UUAUCUCCCCAGCAGGGAAGAUACCAUGAUCACAGAGGUGGUUUUCCCAGGGUGAGGCUUAUCCAUUGCCCUCCAGAUGUGCUGACCCCUACAAUUUGAGCCCUGCAAGUUCCUCAAAUGUGGGAAGCUCAACUGCAUAAUUUGUAGUCGUGGGGGACUGCGUUCGUGCUCUCCCAUG
Tupaia belangeri (northern tree shrew) is the source of this 178-nucleotide small nuclear RNA. Its record names the gene U1. It matches the Rfam family "U1 spliceosomal RNA". Rfam says of the family: U1 is a small nuclear RNA (snRNA) component of the spliceosome (involved in pre-mRNA splicing). Its 5' end forms complementary base pairs with the 5' splice junction, thus defining the 5' donor site of an intron. The record is from Ensembl. Lineage: Eukaryota; Metazoa; Chordata; Mammalia; Scandentia; Tupaiidae.